RNAcentral lists this ribosomal RNA (496 nucleotides) under uncultured bacterium. RNAcentral's name for it is "partial 16S ribosomal RNA". It matches the Rfam family "Bacterial small subunit ribosomal RNA", at positions 899 to 1397 of the family's 1533-position model. The record is from RNAcentral.
ACUCAAAUGAAUAGACGGGGACCCGCACAAGCGGUGGAUGAUGUGGAUUAAUUCGAUGCAACGCGAAUAACCUUACCUACCCUUGACAUGUACGGAACCCUGCAGAGAUGUGGGGGUGCUUGAAAGAGAGCCGUAACACAGGUGCUGCAUGGCUGUCGUCAGCUCGUGUCGUGAGAUGUUGGGUUAAGUCCCGCAACGAGCGCAACCCUUGUCCCUAGUUGCUACGCAAGGGCACUCUAGGGAGACUGCCGGUGACAAACCGGAGGAAGGUGGGGAUGACGUCAAGUCCUCAUGGCCCUUAUGGGUAGGGCUUCACACGUCAUACAAUGGCCGGUACAGAGGGUUGCCAAAGCGCGAGCUGGAGCCAAUCCCCAUAAAAGCCGGUCGUAGUCCGGAUUGCAGUCUGCAACUCGACUGCAUGAAGUCGGAAUCGCUAGUAAUCGCGGAUCAGCAUGUCGCGGUGAAUACGUUCCCGGGUCUUGUACACACCGCCCGU